This 253-nucleotide ribosomal RNA is filed under the name uncultured bacterium. RNAcentral describes it as "partial 16S ribosomal RNA". It matches the Rfam family "Bacterial small subunit ribosomal RNA", at positions 524 to 776 of the family's 1533-position model. The record is from RNAcentral.
UACGUAGGGGGCAAGCGUUGUCCGGAUUUAUUGGGCGUAAAGAGCGUGUAGGCGGCUUUACAGGUCCGUUGUGAAAACUCGAGGCUCAACCUCGAGACGCCGGUGGAAACCGUAAAGCUAGAGUCCGGAAGAGGAGAGUGGAAUUCCUGGUGUAGCGGUGAAAUGCGCAGAUAUCAGGAGGAACACCCGUGGCGAAAGCGGCUCUCUGGGAUGGUACUGACGCUGAGACGCGAAAGCGUGGGGAGCAAACAGG